UAGGGAAUCUUCGGCAAUGGACGAAAGUCUGACCGAGCCACGCCGCGUGAGUGAAGAAGGUUUUCGGAUCGUAAAACUCUGUUGUUAGAGAAGAACAAGGACGUUAGUAACUGAACGUCCCCUGACGGUAUCUAACCAGAAAGCCACGGCUAACUACGUGCCAGCAGCCGCGGUAAUACGUAGGUGGCAAGCGUUGUCCGGAUUUAUUGGGCGUAAAGCGAGCGCAGGCGGUUUCUUAAGUCUGAUGUGAAAGCCCCCGGCUCAACCGGGGAGGGUCAUUGGAAACUGGGAGACUUGAGUGCAGAAGAGGAGAGUGGAAUUCCAUGUGUAGAGGUGAAAUGCGUAGAUAUAUGGAGGAACACCAGUGGCGAAGGCGGCUCACUGGUCUGUAACUGACGCUGAGGCUCGAAAGCGUGGGGAGCAAACAGG
This 429-nucleotide ribosomal RNA is filed under the name Gemmatimonadota bacterium. RNAcentral describes it as "Gemmatimonadetes bacterium partial 16S ribosomal RNA". It matches the Rfam family "Bacterial small subunit ribosomal RNA", at positions 355 to 776 of the family's 1533-position model. The record is from RNAcentral. Lineage: Bacteria; Pseudomonadati; Gemmatimonadota.